GAUGAACGCUGGCGGCGUGCCUAAUACAUGCAAGUCGAGCGAACAGACGAGGAGCUUGCUCCUCUGAUGUUAGCGGCGGACGGGUGAGUAACACGUGGAUAACCUACCUAUAAGACUGGGAUAACUUCGGGAAACCGGAGCUAAUACCGGAUAACAUGUUGAACCGCAUGGUUCAACAGUGAAAGACGGUCUUGCUGUCACUUAUAGAUGGAUCCGCGCCGCAUUAGCUAGUUGGUAAGGUAACGGCUUACCAAGGCAACGAUGCGUAGCCGACCUGAGAGGGUGAUCGGCCACACUGGAACUGAGACACGGUCCAGACUCCUACGGGAGGCAGCAGUAGGGAAUCUUCCGCAAUGGGCGAAGGCCUGACGGAGCAACGCCGCGUGAGUGAAGAAGGUCUUCGGAUCGUAAAACUCUGUUAUUAGGGAAGAACAAAUGUGUAAGUAACUAUGCACGUCUUGACGGUACCUAAUCAGAAAGCCACGGCUAACUACGUG
RNAcentral lists this ribosomal RNA (497 nucleotides) under uncultured bacterium. Its description in RNAcentral is "partial 16S ribosomal RNA". It matches the Rfam family "Bacterial small subunit ribosomal RNA", at positions 28 to 507 of the family's 1533-position model. The record is from RNAcentral.